AUGGCCUAUCCAAGGACAUGGACACCGGG
This 29-nucleotide non-coding RNA is filed under the name Homo sapiens (human). The record is from RNAcentral. Lineage: Eukaryota; Metazoa; Chordata; Mammalia; Primates; Hominidae.